UACGGAGGGUGCAAGCGUUAAUCGGAAUUACUGGGCGUAAAGCGUGCGCAGGCGGUUUGUUAAGUCCGUUGUGAAAGCCCCGAGCUCAACUUGGGAAUUGCAGUGGAUACUGGCAGGCUGGAGUACGGUAGAGGAAGGUGGAAUUCCCGGUGUAGCAGUGAAAUGCGUAGAUAUCGGGAGGAACACCAGUGGCGAAGGCGGCUAUCUGGGCUGCAACUGACGCUGAGGCGCGAAGGCUAGGGUAGCAAACAGG
This 253-nucleotide ribosomal RNA is filed under the name uncultured bacterium. Its description in RNAcentral is "partial 16S ribosomal RNA". It matches the Rfam family "Bacterial small subunit ribosomal RNA", at positions 524 to 776 of the family's 1533-position model. The record is from RNAcentral.